Molecule: ribosomal RNA, 237 nt
Filed under: uncultured Candidatus Saccharibacteria bacterium
Lineage: Bacteria; Candidatus Saccharimonadota
Description: partial 16S ribosomal RNA
Rfam family: Bacterial small subunit ribosomal RNA
Source: RNAcentral
UCAAGUGAAUAGUGAAACCUGGUGGCUCAACCAUACAGACUAUUAUUCAAACUGACUUACUCGAGAGUGGUAGAGGUAACUGGAAUUUCUUGUGUAGGAGUGAAAUCCGUAGAUAUAAGAAGGAACACCGAUGGCGUAGGCAGGUUACUGGGCCAUUUCUGACGCUAAGGCACGAAAGCGUGGGGAGCGAACCGGAUUAGAUACCCGGGUAGUCCACGCCGUAAACGAUGGAUACUA